CGCGUAGGCGGUUGACACAGUCAGGCGUGAAAUUCCUGGGCUUAACCUGGGGGCUGCGCUUGAUACAUGUUGACUUGAGUGUGGAAGAGGGUCGUGGAAUUCCCAGUGUAGAGGUGAAAUUCGUAGAUAUUGGGAAGAACACCGGUGGCGAAGGCGGCGACCUGGUCCAUUACUGACGCUGAGGCGCGAAAGCGUGGGGAGCAAACAGGAUCAGAUACCCUGGUAGUCCACGCUGUAAACGAUGUGUGCUGGAUGUUGGGUGGCCUAGCCAUUCAGUGUCGUAGCUAACGCGGUAAGCACACCGCCUGGGGAGUACGGCCGCAAGGUUGAA
RNAcentral lists this ribosomal RNA (331 nucleotides) under uncultured bacterium. RNAcentral describes it as "bacterial SSU rRNA". It matches the Rfam family "Bacterial small subunit ribosomal RNA", at positions 568 to 898 of the family's 1533-position model. The record is from RNAcentral.